Molecule: microRNA precursor, 103 nt
Filed under: Marmota monax (woodchuck)
Lineage: Eukaryota; Metazoa; Chordata; Mammalia; Rodentia; Sciuridae
Source: RNAcentral
AGUAAGAUAGCUGGAUCAAAUGGUGGUUCUAUUCCCAGUUUUCUAAAGAAUCUCCAAACUGCUUUCCAUAUUGGCUGCACCAUUUUGCACUCCCACUAGCAAU